RNAcentral lists this ribosomal RNA (257 nucleotides) under uncultured bacterium. RNAcentral describes it as "partial 16S ribosomal RNA". It matches the Rfam family "Bacterial small subunit ribosomal RNA", at positions 15 to 264 of the family's 1533-position model. The record is from RNAcentral.
GAUCCUGGCUCAGAUUGAACGCUGGCGGCAGGCCUAACACAUGCAAGUCGAACGGUAACAGGAAGAAGCUUGCUUCUUUGCUGACGAGUGGCGGACGGGUGAGUAAUGUCUGGGAAACUGCCUGAUGGAGGGGGGAUAACUACUGGAAACGGUAGCUAAUACCGCAUAACGUCGCAAGACCAAAGAGGGGGGACCCUUCGGGCCGUCUUGCCAUCGGAUGUGCCCAGAUGGGAUUAGCUAGUAGGUGGGGUAACGGG